Molecule: long non-coding RNA, 247 nt
Filed under: Phaseolus vulgaris (common bean)
Lineage: Eukaryota; Viridiplantae; Streptophyta; Magnoliopsida; Fabales; Fabaceae
Description: long non-coding RNA (PVUL_LNC001159)
Source: RNAcentral
GCCUCUCCAAGUUAGCUUUUGUGGCAAUCGAAUUAAUCAACACCCUCCAAGCGAUAAUCUGUGUUGAGGGCAAAGCAGUAGUCUUCCAGAGGAAGACAAAUUCACUUUUUCCCUCCACAGGGCAUCUUAAAAGAGCAUAGACAGAUUUUACCGAGAAACCACUAUCCUUACCAGCCUUCCAAACUUGACUAUCUACAGAAUUCAUGAUAGGGGUCUUUCCAUGCACUUCUUGUAACAGCUGGACUUC